UCGAAUCGCCGGCCCUUGGAGAGCUCCAGCAGCAGCUCGUCGUUCUCCAGCAGCAUGCUCCAUUUCCUGGCCGUCACCAGCUGCCGUGCCUCGUCCUCGUCGUCCAUGGCGACCCGGUAGUUGAGAUCGCCGAGCAACACCACGCGGCUGUAAGAACGAACACGGGAACAGAGGCAACCAUUCCAUCAGUAGUAGUAGUUACUUACUAGUUAGUGAGCUAUUGGCUCGAUCUCCUGCAGCCUGCUCACUCAUGGUGAAGAAUCUUCUUGGGCAGGGUCAGCUCCUGCGACGCCUCCGCCUCCGCCUCCGCGCUGCCACGGCCGUGGAACCUUG
This 333-nucleotide long non-coding RNA is filed under the name Sorghum bicolor (sorghum). RNAcentral describes it as "long non-coding RNA (SBIC_LNC013131)". Lineage: Eukaryota; Viridiplantae; Streptophyta; Magnoliopsida; Poales; Poaceae. The record is from RNAcentral.